CAGUAGCCGCGGGAAUACGGAGGGUGCAAGCGUUAAUCGGAAUUACUGGGCGUAAAGCGCACGCAGGCGGUUUGUUAAGUCAGAUGUGAAAUCCCCGAGCUUAACUUGGGAACUGCAUUUGAAACUGGCAAGCUAGAGUCUUGUAGAGGGGGGUAGAAUUCCAGGUGUAGCGGUGAAAUGCGUAGAGAUCUGGAGGAACACCGGUGGCGAAGGCGGCCCCCUGGACAAAGACUGACGCUCAGGUGCGAAAGCGUGGGGAGCAAACAGGAUUAGAUACCCCGGUAGUCCCUGUCUCUUAUAC
This 301-nucleotide ribosomal RNA is filed under the name uncultured bacterium. Its description in RNAcentral is "partial 16S ribosomal RNA". It matches the Rfam family "Bacterial small subunit ribosomal RNA", at positions 509 to 807 of the family's 1533-position model. The record is from RNAcentral.